GUUUCAGCAGCCGCGGUAAGACGAACCGUGCAAACGUUGUUCGGAAUCACUGGGCUUAAAGGGCGCGUAGGCGGGUUUCCAAGUCUGUGGUGAAAUCCUCCAGCUUAACUGGAGAAGUGCCGUGGAUACUGGGAAUCUCGAGGAGGGUAGGGGCAUCUGGAACAGCCGGUGGAGCGGUGAAAUGCGUUGAUAUCGGCUGGAACUCCGAUGGCGAAGGCAAGGUGCUGGACCCUUUCUGACGCUGAGGCGCGAAAGCCAGGGGAGCAAACGGGAUUAGAUACCCGGGUAGUCC
This 292-nucleotide ribosomal RNA is filed under the name uncultured bacterium. RNAcentral describes it as "partial 16S ribosomal RNA". It matches the Rfam family "Bacterial small subunit ribosomal RNA", at positions 505 to 796 of the family's 1533-position model. The record is from RNAcentral.